This 432-nucleotide ribosomal RNA is filed under the name uncultured bacterium. RNAcentral's name for it is "partial 16S ribosomal RNA". It matches the Rfam family "Bacterial small subunit ribosomal RNA", at positions 28 to 506 of the family's 1533-position model. The record is from RNAcentral.
GACGAACGCUGGCGGCAUGCCUAACACAUGCAAGUCGAACGAGUCCUUCGGGCCUAGUGGCUCACGGGUACGUAACGCGGGGGAACCUGCCCUUAGGUUCGGAAGAACGCCCCGUAAGGGGUGCUAAUACCGAAUAAUUUCUACCAACCAAAGAUGUAUCGGCUUUGUGUGGGCCCGCGUUGGAUUAGCUAGUUGGCAGGGUAAAAGCCUGCAGAGGGGACGAUCCAUAGCUGGUCUGAGAGGAUGAUCAGGAACACUGGGACAGGGACACGGCGCAGACUCCUAGGGAAGGCAGCAGGGGGGAAUAUGGGACAAUGGGCGAGAGAAUGAGCCAGCAAGGUCGCGUGAGUGAUGAAGGAGUGAGGAUUGUAAAGCUCUGUUACCCGGGAUGAUAAGGACAGAACCGGGAGAAUAAGCACCGGCAAAUUCGGU